CUUACCAGGUCUUGACAUCCUCUGACAAUCCUAGAGAUAGGACGUCCCCUUCGGGGGCAGAGUGACAGGUGGUGCAUGGUUGUCGUCAGCUCGUGUCGUGAGAUGUUGGGUUAAGUCCCGCAACGAGCGCAACCCUUGAUCUUAGUUGCCAGCAUUCAGUUGGGCACUCUAAGGUGACUGCCGGUGACAAACCGGAGGAAGGUGGGGAUGACGUCAAAUCAUCAUGCCCCUUAUGACCUGACAAUGGACAGAACAAAGGGCAGCGAAACCGCGAGGUUAAGCCAAUCCCACAAAUCUGUUCUCAGUUCGGAUCGCAGUCU
This 320-nucleotide ribosomal RNA is filed under the name uncultured bacterium. RNAcentral's name for it is "bacterial SSU rRNA". It matches the Rfam family "Bacterial small subunit ribosomal RNA", at positions 970 to 1306 of the family's 1533-position model. The record is from RNAcentral.